RNAcentral lists this ribosomal RNA (253 nucleotides) under uncultured bacterium. RNAcentral describes it as "partial 16S ribosomal RNA". It matches the Rfam family "Bacterial small subunit ribosomal RNA", at positions 524 to 776 of the family's 1533-position model. The record is from RNAcentral.
UACGGAGGGGGCAAGCGUUAUUCGGAAUUAUUGGGCGUAAAGGGCGCGUAGGCGGCUAGAUGUGUCAAAGGUGAAAUCCCUCGGCUCAACUGAGGAACUGCCUUUGAAACUGUCUGGCUUGAGGCCGGGAGAGGGUAGCGGAAUUCCCAGUGUAGCGGUGAAAUGCGUAGAUAUUGGGAGGAACACCAGUGGCGAAGGCGGCUACCUGGACCGGUUCUGACGCUGAGGCGCGAAAGCGUGGGGAGCGAUCCGG